CUCUUUUCACUUCCUCCCUCAAAUUUUUCCUCAACCACUAUGCCCCAAUCAGCAAGUCGCUCCCCUCCCUAAUUUGCUUUCUUUCAAUGUUGUCUACUCUGUCCUCCUAGCCCCAAAGGUCAAACGCUGCAAACCCAUCCACCUUACUAACAAGCCCUCACGUUCCUCAGUUUGUGCCCAACCUUCACCAUUGUUCUUCUCCUUUUGGGUAUUUGACUACAAUACCUCUAUGUCCCUCAACCUCUGAAUUGUCAUUCUUGUCGCUAGCUUCCUAUUCUAUAAGAUCUUCACAUAGAUCUUUUUCAAUAGUUUGCGAUAAUACCUGCUUCAUGACGGAUCUUCUUCAUGCAGAUCAUCAGUUUAAUUGAUGUUUUUCAUUGUAUGCUGUUGAUUGUGUAUUUGUAGGGUUCAUUUAGGUGAUUUUUUUUAUGGUUUAUUCUGUUCAUUAAGUAAAUAUGAACUUUUGUGACCUUUAAUUUGG
RNAcentral lists this unclassified non-coding RNA (481 nucleotides) under Hevea brasiliensis (rubber tree). The record is from RNAcentral. Lineage: Eukaryota; Viridiplantae; Streptophyta; Magnoliopsida; Malpighiales; Euphorbiaceae.